UUGGAAACGUCUGCUAACACCCCAUAUGCCUUUAUCACAAAAGUGAGCAAGGGAAAUAUUUAUAGCUCUAGGAUCGGCCUGUACGGUAUCAGCUAGUUGGUGAGGUAAUGGCUCACCAAGGCAAUGACACCUAACUGGUUUGAGAGGAUGAUCAGUCACACUGGAACUGAGACACGGUCCAGACUCCUACGGGAGGCAGCAGUGGGGAAUAUUGCACAAUGGACGAAAGUCUGAUGCAGCAACGCCGCGUGGAGGAUGACACAUUUCGGUGCGUAAACUCCUUUUAUAUAGGAAGAUAAUGACGGUACUAUAUGAAUAAGCACCGGCUAACUCCGUGCUAGCAGCCGCGGUAAUACGGAGGGUGCAAGCGUUACUCGGAAUUACUGGGCGUAAAGAGCGUGUAGGCGGGUAAAUAAGUUGGAAGUGAAAUCCUAUGGCUCAACCAUAGAACUGCUUCCAAAACUGUUAACCUAGAAUGUGGGAGAGGUAGAUGGAAUUUCUGGUGUAGGGGUAAAAUCCGUAGAUAUCAGAAGGAUUACCGAUUGCGAAGGCGAUCUACUGGAACACUAUCGACGCUGAGACGCGAAAGCGUGGGGAGCAAACAGGAUUAGAUACCCUGGUAGUCCACGCCCUAAACGAUGUACACUAGUUGUUGUGAGGCUAGACCUUGCAGUAAUGCAGUUAACACAUUAAGUGUACCGCCUGGGGAGUACGGUCGCAAGAUUAAAACUCAAAGGAAUAGACGGGGACCCGCACAAGCGGUGGAGCAUGUGGUUUAAUUCGACAUACGCGAAGAACCUUACCUGGUCUUGACAUAGAAAGAACUUUCCAGAGAUGGAUUGGUGCCUGCUUGCAGGAGCUUUCAUACAGGUGCUGCACGGCUGUCGUCAGCUCGUGUCGUGAGAUGUUGGGUUAAGUCCCGCAACGAGCGCAACCCUCGUCGUUAGUUGCUAACAGUUCGGCUGAGAACUCUAACGAGACUGCCUACGCAAGUAGGAGGAAGGUGAGGACGACGUCAAGUCAUCAUGGCCCUUACGACCAGGGCUACACAUGUGCUACAAUGGGGUAUACAAAGAGCAGCGAUACGGUGACGUGGAGCGAAUCUCAAAAAUGCCUCCCAGUUCGGAUAGUAGUCCGCAACUCGACUACUUGAAGUUGGAAUCGCUAGUAAUCGUAGAUCAGCUAUGCUACGGUGAAUACGUUCCCGGGUCUUGUACUCACCGCCCGUCACACCAUGGGAGUUGAGUUCAUUCGAAGC
RNAcentral lists this ribosomal RNA (1258 nucleotides) under metagenome. RNAcentral describes it as "bacterial SSU rRNA". It matches the Rfam family "Bacterial small subunit ribosomal RNA", at positions 150 to 1427 of the family's 1533-position model. The record is from RNAcentral.